AACGAACGCUGGCGGCAUGCCUAACACAUGCAAGUCGAACGAAUGGUUUCGGCCAUUAGUGGCGCACGGGUGAGUAACGCGUGGGAAUCUGCCCAGCAGUGGGGGAUAACCUCUGGAAACGGAGGCUAAUACCGCAUACGCCCCUCGGGGGAAAGGCUUGCUGCUGCUGGAGGAGCCCGCGUCGGAUUAGGUAGUUGGUGGGGUAACGGCCUACCAAGCCUGUGAUCCGUAGCUGGUCUGAGAGGAUGAUCAGCCACACUGGGACUGAGACACGGCCCAGACUCCUACGGGAGGCAGCAGUGGGGAAUAUUGGACAAUGGGCGCAAGCCUGAUCCAGCAAUGCCGCGUGAGUGAUGAAGGCCUCGGUUGUAAGCUCUUCGUCCCACGACCGAUGAUGACGGUAGUGGGAGAAGAAG
Molecule: ribosomal RNA, 416 nt
Filed under: uncultured bacterium
Lineage: Bacteria
Description: bacterial SSU rRNA
Rfam family: Bacterial small subunit ribosomal RNA
Source: RNAcentral